RNAcentral lists this ribosomal RNA (253 nucleotides) under uncultured bacterium. Its description in RNAcentral is "partial 16S ribosomal RNA". It matches the Rfam family "Bacterial small subunit ribosomal RNA", at positions 524 to 776 of the family's 1533-position model. The record is from RNAcentral.
UACGAAGGGGGCUAGCGUUGCUCGGAAUCACUGGGCGUAAAGCGCACGUAGGCGGAUUGUUAAGUCAGGGGUGAAAUCCUGGAGCUCAACUCCAGAACUGCCUUUGAUACUGGCGAUCUCGAGUCCGGGAGAGGUGAGUGGAACUGCGAGUGUAGAGGUGAAAUUCGUAGAUAUUCGCAAGAACACCAGUGGCGAAGGCGGCUCACUGGCCCGGUACUGACGCUGAGGUGCGAAAGCGUGGGGAGCGAACCGG